This 286-nucleotide ribosomal RNA is filed under the name uncultured cyanobacterium. RNAcentral's name for it is "partial 16S ribosomal RNA". It matches the Rfam family "Bacterial small subunit ribosomal RNA", at positions 434 to 731 of the family's 1533-position model. The record is from RNAcentral. Lineage: Bacteria; Bacillati; Cyanobacteriota.
UUUUNUCAGGGAAGAAGCCAGUGACGGUACCUGAGGAAUCAGCCUCGGCUAACUCCGUGCCAGCAGCCGCGGUAAUACGGAGGAGGCAAGCGUUAUCCGGAAUUAUUGGGCGUAAAGCGUCCGCAGGUGGUUGUUCAAGUCCGCUGUCAAAGACCGGGGCUUAACNCNGGNCCGGCAGUNGAAACUGANCANCUAGAGGUCGGUAGGGGUAGAGGGAAUUCCCAGUGUAGCGGUGAAAUGCGUAGAGAUUGGGAAGAACACNCNNGUGGCGAANNGCGCUCUACUG